UGGGAAUAUUGCGCAAUGGGGGAAACCCUGACGCAGCAACGCCGCGUGCGGGAUGGAGGCCUUAGGGUCGUAAACCGCUUUCAGCAGGGACGAAAUAAGACUUUACCUGCAUAAGAAGCUCCGGCUAAAUACGUGCCAGCAGCCGCGGUAAUACGUAUGGAGCAGGCGUUAUCCGGAUUCAUUGGGCGUAAAGCGCGCGUAGGCGGCCUUAUAAGUCGAGUGUUAAACCCGAGGGCUCAACCCCCGGUUGCACCCGAUACUGUAAGGCUUGAGUUCGGUAGGGGAAAGUGGAAUUCCCAGUGUAGCGGUGGAAUGCGCAGAUAUUGGGAAGAACACCGGUGGCGAAGGCGGCUUUCUGGGCCGUAACUGACGCUGAGGCGCGAAAGCUAGGGGAGCAAAC
RNAcentral lists this ribosomal RNA (400 nucleotides) under uncultured bacterium. RNAcentral's name for it is "bacterial SSU rRNA". It matches the Rfam family "Bacterial small subunit ribosomal RNA", at positions 356 to 773 of the family's 1533-position model. The record is from RNAcentral.